Long non-coding RNA from Dromiciops gliroides (monito del monte), 749 nucleotides. RefSeq lists it as uncharacterized. NCBI's taxonomy places the organism in Eukaryota, Metazoa, Chordata, Mammalia, Microbiotheria, Microbiotheriidae. The transcript has 3 exons. The record is from RefSeq and is a predicted model, not a curated record.
UGAUUGUUUAGUUAGUGACUUUGCCAACUUCCUGGAGGUUCAUGUCGGAUUCUGCAAAAGGACUGCAUUUCCUUUUGGAAUGGGGACUGAGAAAGAGAGGCAGCAGAAGCCUGGGUUCACCAGCAAAUUGAAUUAAUUUUGUAAAAGUUGGACAGAAGCAAGGUUUUUUUUUUUUUCCAAGAGAACAUUUCUGAACAAAAAGCGUGUAGCAUGGACACCCUAAGGAAGAGACAAGAGGCACAUGCUGGGUAUAUGAAAACCCCACCAGUUCUUCAACUACUGACUCCUUCUAACCUAGAGAGAAAUGGCAUAGGAUCCUGAGCACAAGAGCCCUAAGAAAAGCAAUGCUUAGACCAAUGGCCCUACUUCCAGUUAGCCUUUGGCAGCCAUCAUUAUGGGAAUCGACUUUUCUUGAGAUGAGGAUUCCCAUCCCCACCAGUACCAUCACCAUCUCCUACCAACUGACAUUAGUGGGCAGAUGCUGUAGUCUCCCUUCUUUCUUAGCUGAUGUAGCUACUGAAGACCUGAAUGAUAAAGUCGUUACCACCCAAGUUCUAAUGGUUCAACUUUGGAAAUGGAUAUUGAUGGAGAACCAACGAUAAAGAAGAUGCAUUUCUAUCUGCUUUGUUGUUGCACCCUAAUUUUGCCUUAGAACCCUCCUGUGUGUGUUGUCUCUCCCUAUUAGAAUGUGAGGUCCUUGAAAGCAAGGGCUCUCUGGCUUUUUUAUGUGUUCCCAUGCUUUGAACUCA